UCUUCCGCAAUGGGCGAAAGCCUGACGGAGCAACGCCGCGUGAGUGAUGAAGGUCUUCGGAUCGUAAAACUCUGUUGUUAGGGAAGAACAAAUUUGUUAGUAACUGAACAAGUCUUGACGGUACCUAACCAGAAAGCAACGGCUAACUACGUGCCAGCAGCCGCGGUAAUACGUCGGUGGCAAGCGUUAUCCGGAAUUAUUGGGCGUAAAGCGCGCGUAGGCGGUUUCUUAAGUCUGAUGUGAAAGCCCACGGCUCAACCGUGGAGGGUCAUUGGAAACUGGGAAACUUGAGUGCAGAAGAGGAGAGUGGAAUUCCAUGUGUAGCGGUGAAAUGCGCAGAGAUAUGGAGGAACACCAGUGGCGAAGGCGGCUCUCUGGUCUGUAACUGACGCUGAUGUGCGAAAGCGUGGGGAUCAAACAGG
RNAcentral lists this ribosomal RNA (422 nucleotides) under uncultured bacterium. RNAcentral describes it as "bacterial SSU rRNA". It matches the Rfam family "Bacterial small subunit ribosomal RNA", at positions 362 to 776 of the family's 1533-position model. The record is from RNAcentral.